RNAcentral lists this ribosomal RNA (253 nucleotides) under uncultured bacterium. Its description in RNAcentral is "partial 16S ribosomal RNA". It matches the Rfam family "Bacterial small subunit ribosomal RNA", at positions 524 to 776 of the family's 1533-position model. The record is from RNAcentral.
UACGGGGGGGGCAAGCGUUGUUCGGAUUUACUGGGCGUAAAGCGAUCGCAGGCUGUUAAUCAAGUCAGGUGUGAAAUCCCUGGGAUCAACCCGGGAAUUGCACUUGAAACUGGUUGACUAGAGUCAUGGAGAGGUAAGUGGAAUUACCAGUGUAGAGGUGAAAUUCGUAGAUAUUGGUAGGAACACCAGAGGCGAAGGCGACUUACUGGCCAUGUACUGACGCUAAGGAUCGAAAGCGUGGGGAGCAAACAGG